Molecule: long non-coding RNA, 1457 nt
Organism: Panthera uncia (snow leopard)
Lineage: Eukaryota; Metazoa; Chordata; Mammalia; Carnivora; Felidae
Exons: 4
Source: RefSeq, a predicted model, not a curated record
AGGAGGGAGAGAAUCCAAGCAGAGUCCACACUGUCAGGCGCAGAGCCCACUGCAGGGCUCCAACUCCCAAACCAUGAGAUCAUGGCCUGAGCCAAAAUCGAGUCAGAUGCCUAAUCGGCUGAGCCACCAGGCACCUCGAGACCCCAGCCUUUUCUUAAGCCUCACUUGUUUACCAACCUGAGGGCCAUUCUGUUUGAUGAAGAAGAGGAUAGGGCUGGCACCCUCUGCCAGAGCCCAACCACCCGGCUGCCAAAAGGGAUGAGACACCGACAGCCUCUUGCCCCUCGAAAUCCAAAGACCUCAAAGGGGAAAAGAAAUGCAUCCAUUCUUCCUCUUUCUCCACGCUCCUCAUUCCCUACCCUUCUUAAGUGUACAGAAGAUGGACUAUUUUCUGUAUGUUUACUUGUGUAGGAACAGGCUGCAGGAGCAGGCGAGCAGCCGUGAAAACGGACCAUUGGUGCCGCAGAAGCUGUGCUGCAAGCUCAGGGCAUGAAGUGUCCUGGAGAGCUGUCCUGGGGACAGAGCCAAACCCACCAAGGCCUGAGGAGGGCAGGUGGGGUUUGGAAGGCCAAGGAGGAAGCUGCCAUGAGAAACCAAAGGUAGGAACUAGGAGUUCUACCUAUCGAGCAAAGUUGCAAACACAUUGGACUGGCACUCAGACCUGCCUUCGAGCUCUACCCCCACCUCUUAUGCUGCAUCAUUUGGAUUACUUUGCCUCUCCCUACCUCAGUUGCAUCAGCCAUGGUGGGGAUGAUGCCCACAAAGGAUUCAAAAAGGAAAUGAAAGUGCCCUGCUGCACACAUGAAUGCAGAAGGCUCUCUUCUGGACAUUUCUCACUUGUUGCAACUUGUCAGUUGUGGCACAAAGAGAUGUCUCCAUGUUAACUAAUAAGAAGCUUUUGAGGCCCGGUGGUGGUGGUCCUACAUCUACAAUUCUGAGGCCUCCAUUUCCUCCCUUAAAAGUGAGCCCUAGGAGAGGGAGAAGCCAGCUGUGCUCCGGCAGGGCCCCACUCACCGGUGUGAGUAGUAGAAUAGGACUUCGUUAAUCAGAGUGAAGAUAGCCAGCUCCAGAAGGAACCAGUGGAAGAUCUAAGCCCAGAUGGAGUCUGGUUAAAUUUCAUGGGACAGAACUGGAUGGUGGCCUACAGAAAACUGAAGCUGGAAGUUUUGACUGCUGCAGGACAGUACUUCCCUAAGUCUACCAACUGGGGGAGAUAUCACCAACAUGAUGAAAUUCAACUCAUGUUUAAUCAACUAAGUAAGCACCAUCCAUUGGGUCCUGCUCUGAGCAAGGCCCUGCGGUGGUACUGAACUCUUUAUAUACUAUGUUUUUUCCUAUACAUGCAUACCUGUGAUAAAGCUUUAUUUACAAGUUCAGCACAGGAAGAGAUCAACAACAACAAUGAUAAAAGUUAUAACAAUAUACUGGAAUAAAAGUUAUGUGAAUGUGAGUGAUCU